UCGGUCGACUACGUACCACAACUCACAGUUCAUAGAUGUGUCGCGUCGUCACAAUAAUAGCAACACAAAUGUCAACCAAAUUGUGAUCAUUUUUGACUUUAUACAUAAUGCAACAUUACGACUGAAUUUUAAUGAAAUACUUUGGAAAUGUUUAAUGAGUAGUAACUAUAUACGUGUAAAGAGAAAAUAUCUACGAAUCAUAUUAUAGCACUAGAAUUUCAAUUGUGCUGACCGCGGAGACAUGAGCGGUUUGAAUGCGGAGAUGCAGUAAAAAAAAUGUAGAUUAAUGCGGAUUGGCGGUGCGUUUGAAAAAUGCAAUCCCUGGGCGUGGGGGGAUGACCAUGUUAAAGACUUGGAGCAAGAUUGGAGAAAAUAAUACAAAUUCAUGUGUUGCGUAAUAGGUACUAAGCAAUAACUAAUAAUUAAUAAUAAUCGUCGCUAUAAUCGAUCUACUCCGGCACCUAAGUCUGGAAUCUGGAUACAGUGCCACAGAGGAUGGGCGAAUCAGCGGGCUGGAACCUAUCGAGGACACCACCGAGUUCAGGCGGCUGCCGUUAAUCGAAUUCAAAAUUGUGGAAGUUACUUAAAGUGGCAGUAGUAGCCAAGUAGGUACAAAGUUACCAAUUUCAUAUAAUAUCGCCAAUGGUUGACGCGCCGGGAGGUCUCUUCCCGUUUUAAAUUUGAAUGUAUAUUCGGGCGAUACGGUCAUUUCUAUUCUGUGUCCGAACCUUAGAUCAUAAUAGGUACAAUACUAUAAUACAAUAUUAUGGUCUAAGGUUCGACCUAUGAUGGCGCGCUAUCUAUCUCUUACAUUUCGACAUGCUACGCAUGGAACUACUGGCCGUCACUGCCUUACUAGAUAGACCUGACGUUCAUGGUUUUUGUAGGUAUUUUAUAUUGUUUUCAGACUUCCCGAGUUCCAACCGACGUCGUCGCGGCUUACCACGAGUCACGACUAUGUUUAAUUUCUCUUAACGACCUUUAUCUAAUUUUUAAUAACUGGUAGGGGAGGUCGAUCCGGGGCACAAAUUUCAAAUCCAUAAAGCAUAUUAUUGCAUAGUGGCACUAAUAUUAUGUUGUAAUCCGGGUUACAUAAUUUGUAGAUCCGAUACUGAAUAUACAUGUGAUGUCACUCUCAUCUUUUUUCAUUCCAACAUUAUACUUGUUAAACCA
Long non-coding RNA from Metopolophium dirhodum (rose-grain aphid), 1173 nucleotides. RefSeq lists it as uncharacterized. Lineage: Eukaryota; Metazoa; Arthropoda; Insecta; Hemiptera; Aphididae. The transcript is spliced from 3 exons. The record is from RefSeq and is a predicted model, not a curated record.